Molecule: ribosomal RNA, 207 nt
Filed under: uncultured bacterium
Lineage: Bacteria
Description: partial 16S ribosomal RNA
Rfam family: Bacterial small subunit ribosomal RNA
Source: RNAcentral
UCGGAUUGAAGGCUGAAAUUCGCCUUCAUGAAGCCGGAAUUGCUAGUAAUGGCAGGUCAGCAUACUGCCGUGAAUACGUUCCCGGGCCUUGUACACACCGCCCGUCACACCAUGAGAGUUGGGAAUACCCGAAGCCUGUGAGCUAACUUUAAGAGGCAGCAGUCGAAGGUAGAAUCAAUGAUUGGGGUGAAGUCGUAACAAGGUAGC